CUAAUACUCCCUCCGUCCCAAAAAUUCUUGUCUUAUAUUUGUCUAGAUACGGAUGUAUCUAACACUAAAGCGUAACAAGAUACAUCCGUAUUUAGACAAAUUUAAGACAAGAAUUUUGGGAUGGAGGGAGUAGUAA
Molecule: non-coding RNA, 136 nt
Organism: Triticum aestivum (bread wheat)
Lineage: Eukaryota; Viridiplantae; Streptophyta; Magnoliopsida; Poales; Poaceae
Source: Rfam